Molecule: ribosomal RNA, 449 nt
Filed under: uncultured bacterium
Lineage: Bacteria
Description: partial 16S ribosomal RNA
Rfam family: Bacterial small subunit ribosomal RNA
Source: RNAcentral
AACGAACGCUGGCGGCAUGCCUAACACAUGCAAGUCGAACGAAGCCUUCGGGCUUAGUGGCGCACGGGUGCGUAACGCGUGGGAAUCUGCCCUUUGGUUCGGAAUAACAGUUGGAAACGACUGCUAAUACCGGAUGAUGACGAAAGUCCAAAGAUUUAUCGCCAGAGGAUGAGCCCGCGUAGGAUUAGCUAGUUGGUGUGGUAAAGGCGCACCAAGGCGACGAUCCUCAGCUGGUCUGAGAGGAUGAUCAGCCACACUGGGACUGAGACACGGCCUAGACUCCUACGGGAGGCAGCAGUGGGGAAUAUUGGACAAUGGGCGAAAGCCUGAUCCAGCAAUGCCGCGUGAGUGAUGAAGGCCCUAGGGUUGUAAAGCUCUUUUACCCGGGAUGAUAAUGACAGUACCGGGAGAAUAAGCCCCGGCUAACUCCGUGCCAGCAGCCGCCGUAA